AGAUCUGUAAGCUCAAAAUGGUAGAGCGCUCUUCUUCUUAUGAAGCUGAGAGGUUGGUGGUUCAAAUCCACCCAGAUUUG
Molecule: non-coding RNA, 80 nt
Organism: Arabis alpina (gray rockcress)
Lineage: Eukaryota; Viridiplantae; Streptophyta; Magnoliopsida; Brassicales; Brassicaceae
Source: Rfam